Long non-coding RNA from Scylla paramamosain (green mud crab), 505 nucleotides. RefSeq lists it as uncharacterized. The transcript is spliced from 2 exons. The record is from RefSeq and is a predicted model, not a curated record. NCBI's taxonomy places the organism in Eukaryota, Metazoa, Arthropoda, Malacostraca, Decapoda, Portunidae.
CUUCAGAUAUACAGGUAGAGGCUUGCACACCUGUUUCCACGACUCUACAGGUGUGUCUUGUACAGGUAGAGGCUUGCACACCUGUUCCCACGACUCUACAGGUGUGUCUUGUACAGGUAGAGGCUUGCACACCUGUUCCCACGACUCUACAGGUGUGUCUUGUACAGGUAGAGGCUUGCACACCCGUCUCACCUGUUUUCACGAUUCUACAGGUGUAUAGAGGCAAGUCACACCUGUCACCUGUAUGUAUCUGCACGACUCCACAGGUUUGUCCAGACAGGGAGGACCCUACACCUGUCACUGCACAAAUCUACAAGUAUGUCUUGUACAGGUAAGACCCUACACCUGCCGCACGCCGCUCAACAGGUGUGUCCAUACAGGGAAGACCACACCUGCACCGGCUCCCCAGGCCAGUCCAUCCCAACACAGGCAGUCCACGUGCUUCCAGGCCACCCAGACCAUCCAGACCAGCCACCUCCUCCCUCCAGGCACGUACACACACACA